RNAcentral lists this ribosomal RNA (484 nucleotides) under uncultured bacterium. RNAcentral describes it as "partial 16S ribosomal RNA". It matches the Rfam family "Bacterial small subunit ribosomal RNA", at positions 30 to 507 of the family's 1533-position model. The record is from RNAcentral.
AUUGAACGCUAGCGGGAUGCUUUACACAUGCAAGUCGAACGGCAGCGCGGACUUCGGUCUGGCGGCGAGUGGCGAACGGGUGAGUAAUGUAUCGGAACGUGCCCAGUAGCGGGGGAUAACUACGCGAAAGCGUAGCUAAUACCGCAUACGCCCUACGGGGGAAAGCAGGGGAUCGUAAGACCUUGCACUAUUGGAGCGGCCGAUAUCGGAUUAGCUAGUUGGUGAGGUAACGGCUCACCAAGGCGACGAUCCGUAGCUGGUUUGAGAGGACGACCAGCCACACUGGGACUGAGACACGGCCCAGACUCCUACGGGAGGCAGCAGUGGGGAAUUUUGGACAAUGGGGGCAACCCUGAUCCAGCCAUCCCGCGUGUGCGAUGAAGGCCUUCGGGUUGUAAAGCACUUUUGGCAGGAAAGAAACGUCGCGGGCUAAUACCCCGUGGAACUGACGGUACUUGCAGAAUAAGCACCGGCUAACUACGUG